AGGUGGACGCUGCCGGGACCCGGGGUCGGACCGCGCAGGGGAGGCGCAGGUGCGUGGUCCUGCCGCAGGUGCAGGGGACCUGGCUGGAAGGCGGGGGAGGGGCAUCUGGCCUGCAGGCUUGCCAGCCAGCCUGUCCCAGCUCUGCGUCUCUCCAGCUUCCUUCCUAAAUCACCACCACCACCUGCCCUAGGAGUGGAGCCCUUGGGUUGGAGCCAGCUGAUUGGAUGUGAGCUCUAAG
This 238-nucleotide long non-coding RNA is filed under the name Sus scrofa (pig). RNAcentral's name for it is "lncRNA (ENSSSCG00015034786.1)". Lineage: Eukaryota; Metazoa; Chordata; Mammalia; Artiodactyla; Suidae. The record is from RNAcentral.